This is a transfer RNA of Tetrahymena thermophila SB210, 72 nucleotides long. It matches the Rfam family "tRNA". Rfam says of the family: Transfer RNA (tRNA) molecules are approximately 80 nucleotides in length. Their secondary structure includes four short double-helical elements and three loops (D, anti-codon, and T loops). Lineage: Eukaryota; Ciliophora; Oligohymenophorea; Hymenostomatida; Tetrahymenidae. The record is from Rfam.
GGGCAAUUGGUCUAUUAGGUAGGAUUCUCGUCUCCAAUUCGAGAGAUCCAGGUUCGAUUCCUGGAUUGCCCC